AUCCUUACCUGGCAGGGGAGAGACCAGGAUCACAAAGAUGGCUUUCGCAGGGUGAGUCUGAUCCAUUGUACUCCGGAGGUUCUGAUCCCUGUGAUUUUUCCCAAAUGUGUGAAACUCGACUGCAUAAUUUGUGGUAGUGGGAGGCUGCAUGCAUGUACACCCCUG
This is a small nuclear RNA of Microtus ochrogaster (prairie vole), 165 nucleotides long. Its record names the gene U1. It matches the Rfam family "U1 spliceosomal RNA". Rfam says of the family: U1 is a small nuclear RNA (snRNA) component of the spliceosome (involved in pre-mRNA splicing). Its 5' end forms complementary base pairs with the 5' splice junction, thus defining the 5' donor site of an intron. The record is from Ensembl. NCBI's taxonomy places the organism in Eukaryota, Metazoa, Chordata, Mammalia, Rodentia, Cricetidae.